UUCGCUUCUCGGCCUUUUGGCUAAGAUCAAGUGUAGUAUCUGUUCUUAUCAGUUUCAGGCCAAAUGCUUUAUUCUUGUUUUGCAGUGCAUGCCAUUUAUAUAUAUAAUACCCAUG
RNAcentral lists this small nuclear RNA (115 nucleotides) under Pogona vitticeps (central bearded dragon). RNAcentral describes it as "U2 spliceosomal RNA (ENSPVIG00000012246.1)". It matches the Rfam family "U2 spliceosomal RNA". From Rfam's summary of the family: U2 is a small nuclear RNA (snRNA) component of the spliceosome (involved in pre-mRNA splicing). Complementary binding between U2 snRNA (in an area lying towards the 5' end but 3' to hairpin I) and the branchpoint sequence (BPS) of the intron results the bulging out of an unpaired adenosine, on the BPS, which initiates a nucleophilic attack at the intronic 5' splice site, thus starting the first of two transesterification reactions that mediate splicing. The record is from Rfam by way of RNAcentral. Lineage: Eukaryota; Metazoa; Chordata; Lepidosauria; Squamata; Agamidae.